GGAUGCCUGUGAUGAAUAGAAAUUUUGCCUACAUUGUCUGAUUUUGUUUAUACAAUGAAGAGAAAAUUAUAGAUUUCUGAGGCGUUU
This is a small nucleolar RNA of Lactuca sativa (garden lettuce), 87 nucleotides long. RefSeq annotates it as small nucleolar RNA SNORD34. Lineage: Eukaryota; Viridiplantae; Streptophyta; Magnoliopsida; Asterales; Asteraceae. The record is from RefSeq and is a predicted model, not a curated record.